CCAACCAUAGCUCAGUUGGUAGAGCGGAGGACUGUAGAUUUGGUUGCUGAUAUCCUUAGGUCACUGGUUCGAAUCCGGUUGGUUGGA
This is a transfer RNA of Strongyloides venezuelensis, 87 nucleotides long. It matches the Rfam family "tRNA". From Rfam's summary of the family: Transfer RNA (tRNA) molecules are approximately 80 nucleotides in length. Their secondary structure includes four short double-helical elements and three loops (D, anti-codon, and T loops). NCBI's taxonomy places the organism in Eukaryota, Metazoa, Nematoda, Chromadorea, Rhabditida, Strongyloididae. The record is from Rfam.